RNAcentral lists this transfer RNA (67 nucleotides) under uncultured Hyphomonas sp. It matches the Rfam family "tRNA". From Rfam's summary of the family: Transfer RNA (tRNA) molecules are approximately 80 nucleotides in length. RNAcentral also lists the same sequence under 5 other names. Lineage: Bacteria; Pseudomonadati; Pseudomonadota; Alphaproteobacteria; Hyphomonadales; Hyphomonadaceae. The record is from RNAcentral.
CGGGUGUAGCUCAAUGGCAGAGCAGCAGCUUCCCAAGCUGAAUACGAGGGUUCGAUUCCCUUCACCC